Molecule: ribosomal RNA, 522 nt
Filed under: uncultured bacterium
Lineage: Bacteria
Description: bacterial SSU rRNA
Rfam family: Bacterial small subunit ribosomal RNA
Source: RNAcentral
UAACUGGGCGUAAAGGGCACGCAGGCGGUGACUUAAGUGAGGUGUGAAAGCCCCGGGCUUAACCUGGGAAUUGCAUUUCAUACUGGGUCGCUAGAGUACUUUAGGGAGGGGUAGAAUUCCACGUGUAGCGGUGAAAUGCGUAGAGAUGUGGAGGAAUACCGAAGGCGAAGGCAGCCCCUUGGGAAUGUACUGACGCUCAUGUGCGAAAGCGUGGGGAGCAAACAGGAUUAGAUACCCUGGUAGUCCACGCUGUAAACGAUGUCGAUUUGGGGAUUGGGCUUUGAGCUUGGUGCCCGUAGCUAACGUGAUAAAUCGACCGCCUGGGGAGUACGGCCGCAAGGUUAAAACUCAAAUGAAUUGACGGGGGCCCGCACAAGCGGUGGAGCAUGUGGUUUAAUUCGAUGCAACGCGAAGAACCUUACCUACUCUUGACAUCCAUGGAAUCUUGUAGAGAUACGAGAGUGCCUUCGGGAACCAUGAGACAGGUGCUGCAUGGCUGUCGUCAGCUCGUGUCGUGAGAAG